Molecule: ribosomal RNA, 496 nt
Filed under: uncultured bacterium
Lineage: Bacteria
Description: partial 16S ribosomal RNA
Rfam family: Bacterial small subunit ribosomal RNA
Source: RNAcentral
AUUGAACGCUGGCGGAAUGCUUUACACAUGCAAGUCGAACGGUAGAGGGGGCAACCCCUCGAGAGUGGCGAACGGGUGAGUAAUAUAUCGGAACGUGCCCAGUCGUGGGGGAUAACGUAGCGAAAGUUACGCUAAUACCGCAUACGAUCUAAGGAUGAAAGCGGGGGAUCGCAAGACCUCGCGCGAUUGGAGCGGCCGAUAUCAGAUUAGGUAGUUGGUGGGGUAAAGGCUCACCAAGCCAACGAUCUGUAGCUGGUCUGAGAGGACGACCAGCCACACUGGAACUGAGACACGGUACAGACUCCUACGGGAGGCAGCAGUGGGGAAUUUUGGACAAUGGACGCAAGUCUGAUCCAGCCAUUCCGCGUGCAGGACGAAGGCCCUCGGGUUGUAAACUGCUUUUGUACGGAACGAAAAGGUCUCUCUUAAUACGGGGGACUCAUGACGGUACCGUAAGAAUAAGCACCGGCUAACUACGUGCCAGCAGCCGCCGUAA